Molecule: non-coding RNA, 23 nt
Filed under: Arabidopsis thaliana (thale cress)
Lineage: Eukaryota; Viridiplantae; Streptophyta; Magnoliopsida; Brassicales; Brassicaceae
Source: RNAcentral
UAUAGGCCCCAAUUAGAUCCACA